UGCCAACGUCCAUACUCUGCUUCUCGUCCGAUCACCCAAAUUAAGCAUCAACGGGGCCGGUCAGUACUUCGGAGGGUGAUCACCUGGGAACACCACGUG
This is a non-coding RNA of Nephila pilipes (giant wood spider), 99 nucleotides long. NCBI's taxonomy places the organism in Eukaryota, Metazoa, Arthropoda, Arachnida, Araneae, Nephilidae. The record is from the annotation of a GenBank genome assembly.